RNAcentral lists this ribosomal RNA (253 nucleotides) under uncultured bacterium. Its description in RNAcentral is "partial 16S ribosomal RNA". It matches the Rfam family "Bacterial small subunit ribosomal RNA", at positions 524 to 776 of the family's 1533-position model. The record is from RNAcentral.
UACGUAGGGGGCAAGCGUUAUCCGGAUUUACUGGGUGUAAAGGGAGCGUAGACGGCUGUGCAAGUCUGAAGUGAAAGGCAAGGGCUCAACCUUUGGACUGCUUUGGAAACUGUGCAGCUAGAGUGUCGGAGAGGCAAGUGGAAUUCCUAGUGUAGCGGUGAAGUGCGUAGAUAUUAGGAGGAACACCAGUGGCGAAGGCGGCUUGCUGGACGAUGACUGACGUUGAGGCUCGAAAGCGUGGGGAGCAAACAGG